Molecule: ribosomal RNA, 535 nt
Filed under: Rhodotorula sp. CFL-2020a
Lineage: Eukaryota; Fungi; Basidiomycota; Microbotryomycetes; Sporidiobolales; Sporidiobolaceae
Description: partial large subunit ribosomal RNA
Rfam family: Eukaryotic large subunit ribosomal RNA
Source: RNAcentral
UCAAAUUUGUAAUCUGGCACCUUCGGUGUCCGAGUUGUAAUCUCUAGAAGUGUUUUCCGCGUUGGACCGCACACAAGUCUGUUGGAAUACAGCGGCACAGUGGUGAUACCCCCGUAUACGGUGCGGACGCCCAGCGCUUUGUGAUACACUUUCGACGAGUCGAGUUGUUUGGGAAUGCAGCUCAAAUUGGGUGGUAAAUUCCAUCUAAAGCUAAAUAUUGGCGAGAGACCGAUAGCGAACAAGUACCGUGAGGGAAAGAUGAAAAGCACUUUGGAAAGAGAGUUAAAAGUACGUGAAAUUGUUGGAAGGGAAACGAUUGAAGUCAGACUUGCUUGCCGGGCUUGCUCGGUUUGCAGGCCAGCAUCAGUUUUCCGGGGCGGAUAAUGGCAGUUAGAAGGUAGCAGUCUCGGCUGUGUUAUAGCUUUCUGCUGGAUACGUCCUGGGGGACUGAGGAACGCAGCGUGCCGUAUGGCGAGGGCUUCGGCCCUUUCACGCUUAGGAUGCUGGUGGAAUGGCUUUAAACGACCCGUCUUGA